UACGGAAGGCAGCAGUGGGGAAUAUUGCACAAUGGGCGAAAGCCUGAUGCAGCUAUGCCGCGUGUAUGAAGAAGGCCUUAGGGUUGUAAAGUACUUUCAUCGGGGAGGAAAAACAAAACUAAUAAUUUUAUUUCUUGACGUUACCCGAAAAAGAAGCACCGGCUAACUCCGUGCCAGCAGCCGCGGUAAUACGGAGGGUGCUAGCGUUAAUCAGAAUUACUGGGCGUAAAGAGCACGUAGGUGGUUUUUUUAAGUCAGAUGUGAAAUCCCUGGGCUUAACCUAGGAACUGCAUUUUGAAACUGAAAUACUAGAGUAUCGUAGAGGGAGGUAGAAUUCUAGGUGUAGCGGUGAAAUGCGUAGAUAUCUGGAGGAAUACCUGUGGCGAAAGCGGCCUCCUAAACGAAUACUGACACUGAGGUGCGAAAGCGUGGGGAGCAAACAGGGAUUAGAUAC
RNAcentral lists this ribosomal RNA (454 nucleotides) under uncultured bacterium. Its description in RNAcentral is "bacterial SSU rRNA". It matches the Rfam family "Bacterial small subunit ribosomal RNA", at positions 340 to 785 of the family's 1533-position model. The record is from RNAcentral.